Molecule: non-coding RNA, 4407 nt
Organism: Chiloscyllium plagiosum (whitespotted bambooshark)
Lineage: Eukaryota; Metazoa; Chordata; Chondrichthyes; Orectolobiformes; Hemiscylliidae
Source: RefSeq, a predicted model, not a curated record
AGACUUAUUUUUAAAAGAAGAUUCUACAGCUUUGCUGUUCUUAUGUUUUAGUGAGGGACUACCUUUCCAGAAUCUUUCCAGAUGAGUUUCAGUCUGGAAUCUGACCUGUCCAGUAAUAACUUCAGCUGAUAUCAUAACAUCACGCAGCAGUUAACAACAUGUACAAGAUACUGAUAUAACAACAAAAUUGCAAGUUGUGCAUGGUUCUGACAUGGCCAGUAUAUGCCAAAAAUUCUUUGCAAAUGGUUGUGAGGUGUAGUUCAUACUAAUUGGUAGACAGGCCAUAUUCCAAAAUUACUUCCCAUAUGAUGUGAUGAUCGUCCUGACUCAUGGGAAAUAGUUAUUAGCUCUACUUUCUCUACCUACACACGCCACAUACAGGCAGGAAAGCAUUUACCAAAGACAAAUUGUGAGAACAAAUUUGGAGGGCAUUAAGACAUCUCAUAAGACUGGGCAGAAAACAGUUCUGGUGACUUGGGUUGUCACAAAAGAAUGGACAUUGGGAAUGGCGACAUCCAGGAAACCUUGUAGGGCCUGAUAGGAAAACUAAAUAAUUCAUAGGAAUCAGACUAUAUUAGCACAUUCUUCACAAGUAAUGCGACUGAAUUACAAAUUUUAAAAUGCAGAGAAUAUGGGAGAAUGUGGUAAUGAUGAGCUGCCUUAUGCCUCGCAGAGCCAUAUAUUCUGUGAAUUAGGGCCAGGGGAGCAGGAUCUGACAGUUCAGGGAGUAGGUGACCUCCUUCCAAAAGCCUCCUUGCCACACAGUUUGAAGACACAUUGUUAUGAUAGAUGUGAGGGCUCAGGAGUUCCUUAAAUAAUAUUGUUAUCUCUCUGACAUUGCUCACAGAUUAUUUGCCCAAGUAUCCGACAUGGAGACUACCAUGGCUGGAGUCCUUGUGGCCUUGGUAUGGAGACAACACAGAAUGCAACAAAUAUUAUUUGUUCAUCAGCAAGCCCAGCACGAACAGCAAAUCCCAAUGGCUACUGCAACGCCUCCAAAGGGAGAAGCAGUCAAUGAAAAUCCACCAAGGUGGUGCAUUUGCAGGCCUCACCAUCAUUUUGUUCAACAGCCUGAAGCAGAGGGCACUUACCAAUGAAGGAUGUCCUGGGCCAUCAUCAUUGAACUGUGUCAUCUGCAGGAGCAAUGAUCAGAACAACUGGCUGGCAAUCCCAUCCUGAUGGCUGUCAAGGUCACAGGUGUCCUGAUAUUUUAUGACAAUGGCUUGCUUUAAGGAGUACCAGGGGACUAAUGCGGCAUCUCUCAAUCCUUGACCUAUAAGUGCACCCUGUAUGUCACUGAUGUCAUUUUCUCCAGGCACACAGCUCUUCAUUUUCUUUCCUUGGACAAGAAGAGGUCAAGCAGCCAGGAUGGUGGGACUGUCCAUCAUUGCUGGCUUUCCCCAGCCCUACAAUCUUGGAAUCAAAAACACGUAUAAUGGCUUCACCCCAUAUCCUUCUGAUUCAGAAAACCAGGACAGCGAAGACUCCUCCACAGCUUCAUAUAGACCAAUCAUCCCCUCAUUCCUAACCCAACCAUGUUGAUGAGUAAGCAAAGAAGUUACUGAAGAAGUGUGAAUUCAUAGGAGCUUCCAAGAAGAAAUCUACAGGACCAAGUUUAUGCCUUUGUAUCUGGGCAGGUUUGAGUCGUACCUUUUCCUAAUUUUUGAUUAAUAUUGUGACACACUCUGAAAAGCGCAUGAAUUCUUGAGCUGCAUUACUACGAAGCUCAGCACAAAAAGUUAAUGAUUUCAUCAAAGUACAGACAAAUUCUCCAAUUUACCUGUCAGAUCAAAUUAGGUUAAGAGAAAACACUGCCAAUUUUCCCAUCCUUAACAAGAACUGCUGAUUAUUACAAAUAAAUAAGUUCGAGCCGUAGUUAAACAAAACUGCGAACUCGCAACAUAUACCUCCAUUUGUUGAAAUCCUAACCUUUUUAAAAUGCAAAACCGCACUAAGAGACUGAAUGAAGUGUAUAUUUUCUGAAGACAUCUUUGGAGAAGAAUUUGUUUGAGUGACAACUAGGCAGUAAUUUGCAUGGAUUUCUUUGAAACAGGCCAGACAAUUUUCUAUUCUCUUACAAAAUAACCCUACAGUCUGCAACAGGUUGCUCACCUUAUGAGUUAAUGUUUAAACAUGCUCCUUGGCAAGUUUCAGUUUGUUUAUGCCUGAUGUCAGUGCCAAAAGUAAGAAAAAAACAAGACAAGGUGAAGAUGUAUCUUGACACUCAAGUCUUGAAACUUAUAAGUUCAAUGCUGAUCAAAUGAUUAUGGUGACAAACAAUAUUGCGAUGAUGAGGAGACUGUGUGAUUGGAGUUUUUGUAAAGAGAUAAGUUGUAUUUACAUAUCUGCUGAAGAUUGGAACAAAGGUCUGUCAGUGUUGCAUAGAUAAUUGUUUUAAAGGGACAAAGAGAGUGUAUAAUACACCUUCCAUAUCUAAAUUCUUCCUACAAACCAAAGUUAAAGCCAGGAAGAAAGGAAGCUACAAAUAAUUUUAUUUUUCUUUCGAUAAUACAAAAUCCAGCAGGAGGGAAAAUCAAUUGAUGUCUUUGUUGAGACAAAUAAUUGAAUGCCACACUACUAAAUGGAGUUGGUAGUCAAAGUUCAGGGUUAUAGAGUCAGAUAUUGCAAGAACACAGUCACUUGAGUGGAAAUGGAAGAAGAUAUCCAGAUAAAAGGUGAAAGAGGUCAGAAAGGUUAACUGAAAGUAUGUUGGAAGAUAGAGAAAAAAUUGUUUUUUGCAGCACUUCUGGUCAAAUGCAAUACCUGAGUGAAAAACCCACUGCCAGUCCUGUAUGGGUGCCCAAAUUAAAUCCCCAGUCAGAUCCUGGAGGCAUAUUUUAAGAAUGACCUUACUGGAUUUGGGGAAGUAACUUUGCUGUUUGCUAAGGAGCAGUGAUAAUAAUUCAAAUUUGCUUCAGGGGCUCAAUUCAGUCAAAUAACUUGUCAUUUUAAUUGAAUAGCAGUACAGUUUUCAAUAAGUGGGUUAGGUAAAAAUUUUCCCAAGUGUCCACUCAUGCUCCAAGUUGUGCUAUGAAAAUGGGCACCCUACCCCAUACAUUUUACUGUUUUUCUCUCUGAAAUUCUUGAUUGCUGCAUACCGAUAUUCUCCAUUAUUGGCAAAAUCAGAUCAGGGACAAGAAUCUGUUGCUGCUCAAUUUGAGCUACCAUUGAGCUGAUACCUAUUAAGUGGCAGAUUGGUAUUUGCAGUAAACGUUUGAUUCUCUGAAUAAAUAAUAGCUUUGUUCCUUCUGUAUUUUUUGCAGAGUGCUGUUGAUCUUUUACAGUUAGUGAUGGAAACGAUGUUUAGUACUUCAAAAGGUGGUGUGGGGAAAGAACCACAAGUUCCUUUGGCGGCUGCUUAAGUUAUUUACCUGACCCUUCCCUGAGCCACUAAGAAGUGUUAACAAGCUAACCAGUUGCAAUAUAUCCCUUUUGUUCCCUUUACAUCAUCCUACCUAGACUAAAAAGUGAAGAACCAUGAUCUGACAUUCCUGAUGUAGGGCUUAUGUAGAGCUCCUCGGAUGCUGCCUGACCUGCUGUGCUUUUCCAGCAUCACACUCUCGACUCUGACUCUCCAUCAUCUGCAGUCCUCACUUUCUCUAAGUACCAUAAUCUGACAAAUACCUCCCUGUUAUUUCUGCACUAUCAAUUCUCACAUAUGCACUUGCCUGCCCAUUCUACACUGAUGCUUGACAUUUCAGCACCACCCACAGCAGAUUGCGUGGGUAACCAGAAUUCUUCCUUGGAUGCUGCUGUCAAUAUGGUCAUAUUCCUGCAGCACAAAUUUAUUUAUGAUGUAGGGAGCUAGUUGGCUCAGUUGGCUAGACAACUCAUAUGUGGCUCAGAAUUACAACAACUUUGCAGAUUUAAUUCCAAGUGAGGUUGACCUGCCUGCUCAUUCUACCCAUGAAAGUGGAAGGCAGUCACAAACAAGCCACUACUCACGAAAACUCAGAAUGAAGCAUUAGCAGACAAUAAGCCAAGGAAUUGCCUUCUGAUAGAGGAUACACAUCAUGACAAAGUAUCUUUCACUGCUCUCAUCCCCUUAAUGGUUAGUGCCUUGAAAGGUCCAGGCUCUCUCUCUAGCUCAGAAACUUCAUGUAAAGUGCUUGUGAAUUCUUACCUAAGUUAGCUCCUGGAUAAUACCAGGGGCCAAACAUUCUCUAAAUAUAUGGAGGUAGUCUUUUAUUCAUGUUCUUAUUAAAGUAACACUACAGUCUAAUUAAUGUACACAAUGGAGCAAUUUUUAUGAUAAAACUUCACAAGGAUCAUGAAUUCUGUUUUCCUCUUUUACUCCCCUAGAACUAUUACCCUUUAUUAAAAUCUGAACUUUAAAAAAAAAGGUAUGUUCUCUGGAUUUUGAAAUUAAUUAUUCAAAUAAAAUCAUAUUGACUUCAAAUUUAAAUU